This is a long non-coding RNA of Oncorhynchus tshawytscha (Chinook salmon), 2194 nucleotides long. The record is from Ensembl. Lineage: Eukaryota; Metazoa; Chordata; Actinopteri; Salmoniformes; Salmonidae.
CAACUAUAGAUACUAAACAUAGUAUAGAGACUAAACAUACAGCAGUUAGCUUGGAGAAAAAAGAGGCUAAUAAUCAGCUAGCACAACAGGCUAACACUCAGCUAGCUGGGGUUGCACUGUGUAUAAGACAGUAGUUUUGGAAUUGUUAGUUAGAUUACUUGUUGGUUAUUACUGCAUUGUCGGAACUAGAAGCACAAGCAUUUCGCUACACUCGCAUUAACAUCUGCUAACCAUGUGUAUGUGACAAAUAAAAUUUGAUUUGAUUUGAUUUAGCACAACAGGCUAACACUCAGCUAGCACAAUAGGCUAACACUCAGCUAGCACAACAGGCUAACACUCAGCUAGCACAACAGGCUAACACUCAGCCAGCACAACAGGAUAACACUCAGCUUGUGAAACAGGCUAAAACUCAACUAGCACAACAGGCUAACACUCAGCUAUGUACAACAGGCUAACACUCAGCUAGCGCAACAGGAUAACACUCAGCUUGUGCAACAGGCUAACACUCAGCUUGUGCAACAGGCUAACACUCAGCUAGCGCAACAGGAUAACACUCAGCUUGUGCAACAGGCUAACACUCGACUAGCACAACAGGCUAACUCUCAACUAGCACAACAGGCUAACACACAGACAUUUGACACCUCGCCCUCAACCCCACCACACGCCUUCCCCCAGCUCCACACCCAGAGAGACAGAGCUACAGUCCUGCACUGAAAGAGACAGACCAGAGGAACAGCUGAGACCAGACCAGCUGGGACCAUCAGAACUACUGUCCUCCAGCUGGGACCAUCAGAACUACUGUCCUCCAGCUGGGACCAUCAGAACUACUGUCCUCCAGCUGGGACCAUCAGAACUACUGUCCUCCAGCUGGGACCAUCAGAACUACUGUCCUCCAGCUGGGACCAUCAGAACUACUGUCCUCCACUGAGACCAUCAGAACUACUGUCCUCCAGCUGGGACCAUCAGAACUACUGUCCUCCAGCUGUGACCAUCAGAACUACUGUCCUCCAGCUGGGACCAUCAGAACUACUGUCCUCCACUGAGACCAUCAGAACUACUGUCCUCCAGCUGAGACCAUCAGAACUACUGUCCUCCAGUGAGACCAUCAGAACUACUGUCCUCCAGCUGAGACCAGCAGAACUACUGUCCUCCAGUGAGACCAUCAGAACUACUGUCCUCCAGCUGAGACCAGCAGAACUACUGUCCUCCAGCUUAGACCAUCAGAACUACUGUCCUCCAGCUGGGACCAUCAGAACUACUGUCCUCCAGCUGAGACCAGCAGAACUACUGUCCUCCAGCUGGGACCAUCAGAACUACUGUCCUCCAGCUGAGACCAGCAGAACUACUGUCCUCCAGUGAGACCAUCAGAACUACUGUCCUCCAGCUGAGACCAUCACAACUACUCUCCUCCAGCUGGGACCAUCAGAACUACUGUCCUCCAGCUGGGACCAUCAGAACUACUGUCCUCCAGCUGUGACCAUCAGAACUACUGUCCUCCAGCUGGGACCAUCAGAACUACUGUCCUCCAGCUGGGACCAUCAGAACUACUGUCCUCCAGCUGAGACCAUCAGAACUACUGUCCUCCAGCUGGGACCAUCAGAACUACUGUCCUCCAGCUGGGACCAUCAGAACUACUGUCCUCCAGUGAGACCAUCAGAACUACUGUCCUCCAGUGAGACCAUCAGAACUACUGUCCUCUAGUGAGACCAUCAGAACUACUGUCCUCCAGCUGAGACCAGCAGACCUGCUGUCCUCCAGUGAGACCAGUAGAACUACUGUCCUCCAGCUGAGACCAGCAGACCUGCUGUCCUCCAGUAUUCACACAGACAGUAUUAAGACUAAUUUCAAAGCCAUCGGUUCCAGCUAAACGACGUCUGCUCCCGUCCGCACUGACACCUUUCGAAGGGGAAGUUUUGGAGGACGGGAUGCGGAACUCUUGUAAAGGUGGAAACGAGGCAUUGCCAGAGAGCCUAGAGACUGGUGUUUUACUGUUAAACAUUUAUAACCCCCCAGUCUACAUUUACCCAUCACCACCACCAGCCCAUAGAGACCCCCCAGUCUCCAGUUACCCAUCACCACCACCAGCCCAUAUAGACCCCCCAGUCUACAUUUACCCAUCACCACCACCAGCCCAUAGAGAACCACCCCCAGUCUCCAGUUACCCAUCACCACCACCAGCCCAUAGAGACCCCCC